AACGAACGCUGGCGGCAUGCCUAACACAUGCAAGUCGAACGAGACCUUCGGGUCUAGUGGCGCACGGGUGCGUAACGCGUGGGAACCUGCCCUUAGGUUCGGAAUAACUCCCCGAAAUGGGUGCUAAUACCGGAUAAUUUCUUCGGACCAAAGAUUUAUCGCCUUUGGAUGGGCCCGCGUUGGAUUAGCUAGUUGGUAGGGUAAAAGCCUACCAAGGCGACGAUCCAUAGCUGGUCUGAGAGGAUGAUCAGCCACACUGGGACUGAGACACGGCCCAGACUACUACGGGAGGCAGCAGUGGGGAAUAUUGGACAAUGGGCGAAAGCCUGAUCCAGCAAUGCCGCGUGAGUGAUGAAGGCCUUAGGGUUGUAAAGCUCUUUUACCCGGGAUGAUAAUGACAGUACCGGGAGAAUAAGCUCCGGCUAACUCCGUG
RNAcentral lists this ribosomal RNA (433 nucleotides) under uncultured bacterium. RNAcentral describes it as "partial 16S ribosomal RNA". It matches the Rfam family "Bacterial small subunit ribosomal RNA", at positions 29 to 507 of the family's 1533-position model. The record is from RNAcentral.